GACGAACGCUGGCGGCGCGCUUAACACAUGCAAGUCGAACGGAAAGGCCUGCUUUCCCUUGUGGAUUGCGGGUACUCGAGUGGCGAGCGGGUGAGUAACACGUGAGUGAUCUGCCCCCAACUUGGGUAUAAGCCUGGGAAACUGGGUCUAAUUCCCGAUAGGACUGCAGGGUGGUGCCUGUGGUGGAAAACGAUUUUCUAGUGGUUGGGGAUGAGCUCGCGGCCUAUCAGCUUGUUGGUGGGGUAAUGGCCUACCAAGGCGGCGACGGGUAGCCGGCCUGAGAGGGUGGACGGCCACAUUGGGACUGAGAUACGGCCCAGACCCCUACGGGAGGCAGCAGUGGGGAAUAUUACACAAUGGGCGGAAGCCUGAUGCAGCGACGCCGCGUGGGGGAUGACGGCCUUCGGGUUGUAAACUCCUUUCGACCGCGAGGAAGCCACCUGGUUGGAAGGGUGGUGACGGUAGUGGUAGAAGAAGCACCGGCUAACUACGUG
RNAcentral lists this ribosomal RNA (494 nucleotides) under uncultured bacterium. RNAcentral describes it as "partial 16S ribosomal RNA". It matches the Rfam family "Bacterial small subunit ribosomal RNA", at positions 28 to 507 of the family's 1533-position model. The record is from RNAcentral.